RNAcentral lists this ribosomal RNA (253 nucleotides) under uncultured bacterium. Its description in RNAcentral is "partial 16S ribosomal RNA". It matches the Rfam family "Bacterial small subunit ribosomal RNA", at positions 524 to 776 of the family's 1533-position model. The record is from RNAcentral.
UACGGAGGGUGCAAGCGUUGCUCGGAAUCAUUGGGCGUAAAGCGUACGCAGGCUGUUCGUUAAGUCGGGUGUGAAAGCCCGGGGCUCAACCCCGGAAAUGCGCCCGAAACUGGCGAGCUUGAGUGCGGGAGAGGGAAGCGGAAUUCCUGGUGUAGAGGUGGAAUGCGUAGAUAUCGGGAGGAACACCAGUGGCGAAGGCGGUUGCCUGGAGCUUUGCUGACGCUGAGGCGCGAAAGCGUGGGGAGCGAUCCGG